RNAcentral lists this ribosomal RNA (492 nucleotides) under uncultured bacterium. RNAcentral's name for it is "partial 16S ribosomal RNA". It matches the Rfam family "Bacterial small subunit ribosomal RNA", at positions 28 to 507 of the family's 1533-position model. The record is from RNAcentral.
GAUGAACGCUAGCUACAGGCUUAACACAUGCAAGUCGAGGGGAAACGACAUCGAAAGCUUGCUUUUGAUGGGCGUCGACCGGCGCACGGGUGAGUAACGCGUAUCCAACCUGCCCACCACUUGGGGAUAACCUUGCGAAAGUAAGACUAAUACCCAAUGACGUCUCUAGAAGACAUCUGAAAGAGAUUAAAGAUUUAUCGGUGAUGGAUGGGGAUGCGUCUGAUUAGCUUGUUGGCGGGGUAACGGCCCACCAAGGCGACGAUCAGUAGGGGUUCUGAGAGGAAGGUCCCCCACAUUGGAACUGAGACACGGACCAAACUCCUACGGGAGGCAGCAGUGAGGAAUAUUGGUCAAUGGACGAGAGUCUGAACCAGCCAAGUAGCGUGCAGGAUGACGGCCCUAUGGGUUGUAAACUGCUUUUAUAAGGGAAUAAAGUGAGUCUCGUGAGACUUUUUGCAUGUACCUUAUGAAUAAGGACCGGCUAAUUCCGUG